AAUGGCCAGACGCUGCUCUGGAGGGAAAUCUUUAGGGUACACCAUGUGCACAGGGACCUCAGAGACGGUAGGAGGGUACGUCUCACCUUUCACUAGCUGUGAACAAACAAAAACAGUCAUCCACAUGUUAGAGGUGUGUUUGAUUUUGAGCAUUUCAGACUUUUAAAUACCCUGUUUUCCUCCCUCUUUGGGAGUACUAUACUAGGUGUCAAAGGCAAAGUGUUAUGUGCAAAACUAAUUGUCUCUUCUUUCCUUGAGGUACGUUCCACCCUCCAUAACUGAUCAGCUGCUGAUCUGUGACACCUGUGGGCUGGCUACAAAAGCCUCUGCCAAGCCCCUCCCACUCUCUCUCACACAGCCACGAUCAGCAGCAUGGCAGCAGCUAUUACUGUUCCCUCUUUGUUGUUUUGUUGGUAUUAAUUGUCUGUAAUAAAUAUAUGGUUGUAGAUUUGUCUCAUGACUCCUCUAUGUUGCCUCCCCUGAGCCAGGGUCGUAACACAAAGUACAACGGAAAGGACAGUUUCUUUAACAAACUACUGUAUCUCCUCAAACAAAGUGUCCAUUGAUGAAGAUAUUUUGGGAAACUUCUUUACCAAAUCCCUGAUCAUGUCAAAGGCAGGAUGGCAGCUGGCAGACAAGCCAAAACUUUAGUAAAGCCACCUGGUACGUCAUGGUUUGUCCUGAAGAACUGGUGGGUGAAGUGUUGGGCCAUGAAGGCAAACAUCAGGUUGGUUCCCUGAGGGUCUGGCCUGAAUGUCUUUCUCCUGAAAAACCUCUCAGCCAAAAGUUUGGGAUCAGGAAGAACAGAUUUACCUGGAGAGAAAGACACAUGUCAAGAAACAUUUCCCCAGAGGCGCAGUGGUCUGUGAACAGCUGUGUACAGGAAAGAGUUGUUGACGAUGUUCCAGAACCAAUGGAAGUUCGUGAGGAAGGAGUGAACGACUGGAGGACUGGGCUUCAGCAAGAGACGAAGUCUGGUCCAGAACUCAGCUGCACAGAGGAAAACAAAGAGGAAAUGUUUUGAAGGGAACUUAACUUAAACUGUUUGUGAGAUGUUAUUUACGUAAAUUAAGGUUUUAUUAGUGCUUUAUUGGUCAACUGUAAGCCAGUAAGAGGAAAAGUUAUUGUGUUGCCAGGUAGUGACACGUCCAAUUUGUGGUGAUUAUCCUGUUCCAAAGUAAGGUUUGUUUUUAGAUUUCCUGUCUUUAGUUCUGGGUUAGAUCUUCAAAUGGACCAUUUGAUCUUUGAAUGUUAUAAGAAAUAAUUGAUCAUUGAUUUCAAGCUUGUUACUUAUCAAGAUCAAAUGAAGAAGGUGCUGAUUAAGGUUUUACACUUGAUGUCAAAGUUGCUGAAACAAACAAUGAUUAUGUUUUUCUUGGACAUCCUCUUAAUGUAAAACACUCCAGUGUUCAGAGUAUUUGUUAGUUACUUCUUCCCAUUAUUUAUUUGAUGGGAGGUUUCAGAGUUAAUAAUAUAAUCACAAAAUGAAAAAUGAACUCCAGGAUUAAAACUUAAAGGUUUGUCCACUGUAGCUAAAGGGUCAGAUGCAAAUUCAAGAGAGGCCCAUUCGACAUGAAGUUAGCUAAGGUGGCUUCGUUGAUCCAAAGUCAUUAUAAAUUGAUACUAAACUGAGGUCACUUAGACUGUGACUUUUAAAGUAACUCAUACUCACAUUAAAACAUAUCCACUUAUUUUGAAACUGGUGCAUUUUUCUAUACUUACGAUCAGUGCAGUUUUCUCCAUUGAAGCCAGUGCGA
Notolabrus celidotus (New Zealand spotty) is the source of this 1757-nucleotide long non-coding RNA. RefSeq lists it as uncharacterized. The transcript is spliced from 3 exons. The record is from RefSeq and is a predicted model, not a curated record. Lineage: Eukaryota; Metazoa; Chordata; Actinopteri; Labriformes; Labridae.